UACAGAGGCUGCAAGCGUUAUUCGGAUUCACUGGGCGUAAAGGGUGCGUAGGCGGCCAUGUGUGUGAGGCGUGAAAGCCUGGAGCUUAACUCCAGAAUUGCACUUCAAACUACAUGGCUAGAGUAUUGGAGAGGGUAGCAGAAUUCAUGGUGUAGCAGUGAAAUGCGUAGAUAUCAUGAGGAAUACCAGAGGCGAAGGCGGCUACCUGGACAAUUGCUGACGCUCAGGCACGAAAGCGUGGGGAGCAAAAGGG
Molecule: ribosomal RNA, 253 nt
Filed under: uncultured bacterium
Lineage: Bacteria
Description: partial 16S ribosomal RNA
Rfam family: Bacterial small subunit ribosomal RNA
Source: RNAcentral